This 433-nucleotide ribosomal RNA is filed under the name uncultured bacterium. RNAcentral describes it as "partial 16S ribosomal RNA". It matches the Rfam family "Bacterial small subunit ribosomal RNA", at positions 29 to 507 of the family's 1533-position model. The record is from RNAcentral.
AACGAACGCUGGCGGCAUGCCUAACACAUGCAAGUCGAACGAGACCUUCGGGUCUAGUGGCGCACGGGUGCGUAACGCGUGGGAACCUGCCCUUAGGUUCGGAAUAACUCCCCGAAAGGGGUGCUAAUACCGGAUAAUGUCUUCGGACCAAAGAUUUAUCGCCUUUGGAUGGGCCCGCGUUGGAUUAGCUAGUUGGUAGGGUAAAAGCCUACCAAGGCGACGAUCCAUAGCUGGUUUGAGAGGAUGAUCAGCCACACUGGGACUGAGACACGGCCCAGACUCCUACGGGAGGCAGCAGUGGGGAAUACUGGACAAUGGGCGAAAGCCUGAUCCAGCAAUGCCGCGUGAGUGAUGAAGGCCUUAGGGUUGUAAAGCUCUUUUACCCGGGAUGAUAAUGACAGUACCGGGAGAAUAAGCUCCGGCUAACUCCGUG